AUGCGUACGUCACCCCCAGCUCCUGCCCAGCGGGGCCGGGUCCCUCGGCUUAAUGGCAGUAAAGGCUUGGGCAACCGGGGCAUUUCCGAAUUGCCCGAGCUCUCCGCGCUCCCCGGCGCUCUCCGCACCCCGUCGUUUCCCUGCUUGGCAGCUGGGUUUGCGGAAGCGUUUUUGCACCGAGGGAGCUUCUCGCAUUGCAUUGGUUUGCACUGGUGCUCCAAGACCGGUGUUGGAGGCCGCUGCGUCCUGCGGGAAGCUGUGCAGAGCGUCAGUCCCGGGUGCCRGCUCCUCCGAAGUGCCAGCCGCGGUGGUCCGUGGUUAUCCGUGCGGCAAGCGCGGGGCGGCCGCGUUGGCCUCAGAUGCCACGACCAAGCAACCUGCUGCCUAGGCUCGGCCUCUCCCGGGCUGCGGCCAGCGUCCGGCAGCCUCCCGGGGGCUUUCGCAGCCUCCCGCGCCGCUGCCCGUCGGUUUUCCCCAGCCACGGCCGGGCCACGUGGCCGAUGCACCACGCGCUGCGGAUCUAGCGGCAACGUUGCAGCAAAGGCAGCCCAAGGAAAGGCUCCGCGUCCCCAGCGAGCGCUGCGCGGCAGCGACCGUGCCGAAGGCGACCGCGGCAGCUUUCCGCCGCCGGCUCCCUCCCCUGCCCUGCGCCGGGCACGCUCAGCCCGRCCCCAGCGCGUCCUUGCUGUGCGAGAGGGGGCAGAGGAGCCRGCAGGAGGAUUGCAUCAGCCAGCGCAGCUGCUUCCCGGCUCCCUCCCGGUGCUGGGGAGAGGCAGCCCCUUCCCUGGGAGUCAGGGGCUGCGCUCGGCCCCGCAGCUCCGGGGCGGCYGGGCACCUCUCGGAAGCGGCCCCUUCCCCGGGGCAGGGACAGGGAGCCCGGCACGAGCUGCAGGCAGCUCAGCUCCCUCCGCCGAGGGCCCAGCUGCGCCGCCCCGGGGCUUUUAUACCCAGCUGCGGCUCCCAGCAGGGCCCGGCUCUGCCUGCGGAGUUAUUCCGGAUCCCAAAGCCUGGUGUGAGCAGGGCAGGGAGGCAGCAGCCAGGGUCAGGGAGGGAGGCGGCAGUGGGAAAGGGACCCGGGGGGAGCCCCGGAGCAAGCCCCAGUGCUGGUACCCGUGUGCGCCCCGGCUGCUUCCCCCCGGCCAUGGAAGCCAGGAGCGAGGAGCUGGUGCAAAUGCCGGAGCCCUGCUGGGCAGCCCUGCGGCGCCCUGGGUUCCUCCCCUGGUGCCGGGGGAGCCUGCGGUGGCAGCUCCUGGGGGCACGGGAUGCAGGGCAAAACCGGGAUGUCUCCGCCUGGGUGGGRAG
RNAcentral lists this long non-coding RNA (1302 nucleotides) under Apteryx haastii (Great spotted kiwi). Its description in RNAcentral is "lncRNA (ENSAHAG00000018002.1)". Lineage: Eukaryota; Metazoa; Chordata; Aves; Apterygiformes; Apterygidae. The record is from RNAcentral.